AUCCAUAUAUCUCCUGCUUUCUUUCCAUCUUGGUCCCCUCCUAUAGCUCUGUGUUUGGUGCUAGGAGCCUUCUCACCUCUGUCUUUCCCAGGAGAUCAACAUCUGGUGUCUCUUAGGUAUGAAGCAAACAACCCGAUGCAACCAGAGAACACACUGCCUGAAUGACACAGUCUGCAUCCAAGUGACUAAGACCUAUGGGCAAAUGGAGACUGUGCCAGAAGUAUCCAUUACUGGCAAAGGCCAGCUCUGCUGCGUAAUGGUGUACUAUCCAGUGAAUGGGUACAUGAAGAUGAAACAGACAAGAUCUACCAUGGAACCUCUCUACCACCACAUGCAAAAUAUUGCCAUGGCAGUUUCCUGAGGAAAUGACUUUGAUUUGCCCUUGAAAAAGUCCUUCAGUGAGUUCUAGACCCCUUUUUGUAAAUCACUGUGCUUGGAGACUGAUAAAUAAUUAGCAGAGAUUUUCCUAGGCAUUUGCCAUACCUAAUUCAUUUCUGGCCACCCAGGGAGGUCUUGAAUCUAAACUUCAAGGAGAAAGAGAAACCAAGAGUGGUACCCCAUGAUUAUUCUCCCAUUUAAGGUAUUAUAUACUUCAUUAUAUUUAGUAAGGGCUAAUAAGACUAUCUCCAGCUGGGAGCAUCAAGGGUUGUCCCAAGGUUUGGGUGUUCAACCAAAGUAACCCUGCCUUACCAUGGAGACCCCUUAUGGAAGGAGCUUUAGGCAUUCUAGGAGACUUUUAAAUCCAGACUGGGCAAUGGCAAGUCUUCAUUGAUUGCCUAACCCUAAACCAUAGCAAAAGUAGCUGCCUGUUGACUUGGUCUUUCUCUUCCAAUCUAUAGGCCCUCUGUUGGUUUUAUAUAUAUAUAUAUAUAUAUUUUUUUUUUUUUUCACCUUCUAUGCUCUGUCCUGCCCCCUUGAUUUUUCCUUACAUUUAACUUUGCUCUUGGCCCAUGCUAUACUGGCUCUGCACAUUUGCUCAUCAAUGCAUAGAAUGAACAAUUCUCCCUCCUCCCGAAUUGAAAUUCUUCUCUUCCUUGAAGGUUCAUAUCAGGUGUCUAUCCUCUGUGAAAGCUUUCCUGAUCCCACCAUUUGUAAAUGAUCAAGUCAAAUGGUCCACUUGUCAUCUCUCCU
This 1131-nucleotide long non-coding RNA is filed under the name Phascolarctos cinereus (koala). RNAcentral's name for it is "lncRNA (ENSPCIG00000032205.1)". Lineage: Eukaryota; Metazoa; Chordata; Mammalia; Diprotodontia; Phascolarctidae. The record is from RNAcentral.